This 28-nucleotide ribosomal RNA is filed under the name Cytospora sp. 3.4.2. Its description in RNAcentral is "partial 18S ribosomal RNA". The record is from RNAcentral. Lineage: Eukaryota; Fungi; Ascomycota; Sordariomycetes; Diaporthales; Cytosporaceae.
CUCGUUGGUGACAGCGGAGGGAUCAUUG